AUUUGGUAACAAGUUAAUUUAAAUUAUUGCAAUCUUUGUGUUUCUUCUAGGUUAAUACAUUUGAGAAGAAAGCACUAUAAGAUGAAUUUUAAAAAAUCUGUCCCCCUGUGUUCAUAAGCAUGUUUGUGUGAUGAUAGUGAAGGUGCAUGUGAAGACCAGGACUGAGUGCAACCUGGCUGAGUUAGGACCAAUCCUGAGAGUGGCUUUGCCUCACAGCUCCUUGCCUGUUCUGCUAAUCUGGUUGGAGAGGUAUAUCAAUAUGAAUUAUAUGAGGAAAGAGACUUUUGGAAAACUGUCUAUCUUUUUUUCUAAUUGAAGUUAUUCUUAAAGUUAAAAGGUAAAUACCUGUGUGAAAAAAAAUACUAACACAUAGAUGAAGUGACCUACCUCAGUGGCCUUUAUAUGGACACCUUUCAUCUUAUGGAGGUUUAUGGACAGCUUUGCUUCCUCUUCCCAAUGGAACAUUGUGCGUGAUAUUUCUAACCCCACCCAUCAUCUGAGAAAUUCUCUUGUAUCAUCAAAUGUUUCGAUGUUAUCUAAAUGCAAAGGAUUUCUCAAAAUUAUGCAUAUUAAAUAGCACUGAAAUUC
This 588-nucleotide long non-coding RNA is filed under the name Catharus ustulatus (Swainson's thrush). Its description in RNAcentral is "lncRNA (ENSCUSG00005000140.1)". Lineage: Eukaryota; Metazoa; Chordata; Aves; Passeriformes; Turdidae. The record is from RNAcentral.